RNAcentral lists this long non-coding RNA (432 nucleotides) under Homo sapiens (human). RNAcentral describes it as "HSALNT0119069". Lineage: Eukaryota; Metazoa; Chordata; Mammalia; Primates; Hominidae. The record is from RNAcentral.
UUGUUCUAUCCUGUAGUUCAGUGAGAGGAAGGGAGUAGCAUCCAGUGGCUUUCCUUCUUCUCUCCCAUUGUUUGGUUUAUUUUCUAGUUGUUGGAAGACCAUAGUGAACAUUACAAUUGAUUCCUCAAUAUUUAUUCCACCCAAGAUGGGUAAUCCAAGCCAACUAGAGACUGGUUCAGGCAUGGGGCUGCUUAUCUAACUGUGAGUGAUGGCUGUCACUAUUCACUGUGGGACAGGUAUCAAAUGUCAGCAAUCUCUUCUGCUGCCAAUUUGCUGUUUGUUUUUCUCAACUCUUCUCCAUGUUGAAUCCUGGAAGUUAUUGAAACAAUCCUUGAUCAUUGCUUUUAGUCUCUAGUUGUUGUUAGGCAAAAGGAUUUGCGGCUCCUCAUCAGAAUAGCAAGUGAAUAAAGAGCAUGGAUUAUGGAAUCAGAC